GAUUAAACACUUCCAAUGAUAAGAGAUCUGUUGUGAAACUGAACACCCCGUGUUAAUAAGUUAGUUUGACAUUUGUUUUUUAUGAGCCGGGCCCCCUGUGCCUCUAGUAUACUUGUAUUGACUCUCAUAGUUACCCUUUUAGUUUGACUGUGUUCUGUGAAAAUUUGUAAUUGGUUGAGAAUCACUGUGGGCGUCCAUUCUUAUUCAACUAAAUCUCCACAGGUUUUUGAGCUGGUGUGGAUUAGUUUAACUCUUGUAUUCAACCAUUAGUGCUACCACCGUCUCACAUUACAAUACAAUUACUGGAAGCAAGUACUGCAUUUCCUAUGCAACAAAAAAGGAAAAUAAAAAAUUGCUAAUGCUAUGGAAGCUGUGUCAUCAUUUGCUUUAAAUCACACCUGGAAGGUGACAUUUGAGUGAUAGUUAUGGGUGUGGAUCAGAGUUUCCCCUAAAGACAGCCAGUCUUUGCACCCGUCGCUUGCAUCAUCCUUGACAGAUGUCAGGCACCCUCCACAGGGUUCUCAUGAGCCAUGUUGGCUUUUUUACCUAUUUGUGUGUGUGUGUGUGUACUCAGUCACUCAGUUGUGUUAUUUACCUUUAUGUCUUGUCUUUGCCAUUGGACUGAAAGCUUCUUGGAGGCAGGGAUAAUAUCUUAUUAUCUGCAUCCCUGGAUCUUAGCACAUCCAGUGUACCUAGAACUUGUGUGUGUGUGUGUGUGUGUGUGUGUGUGCGCGCGCACACUCAGUCUUGUCUGAGAGUUUGCAGCCCUGUUGACUGUAGCCUGCCAGGCUCCUCUGUGCAUGGGAUUUUCCAGGCAAGGAUACUGGAGUGAGUUGCCAUUUCCUCUUCCAGGGGAUCGUCCUGACACAGGGAUCAAACCCUUGUCUCUUACAUCUCCUGCGUUGGCAGGCGGAUUUAUUACCACUGCAGCACCUGGGAAACCCCUUUUACCUACUUGCUGCUGCUACUGCUUCUAAGUCGCUUCAGUCGUGUCCGACUCUGUGCGACCCCAUAGACGGCAGCCCAUCAGGCUCCACCGUCCCUGGGAUUUUCCAGGCAAGAACACUGGAGCGGGUUGCCAUUUCCUUCUCCAAUGCAUGAAAGUGAAAAGUCAAAGUGAGGUCACUCAGUCGUGUCCAACUCUUAUCGACCCCAUGGACUGCAGCCCACGUCCAUGGGAUUUUCCAGGCAGGAGCACUGGAGUGGGUGCCAUCGCCUUCUCCGUUUACCUACUUAGACAAAUGCAAAACUUCACACUGACAUAGUACCUAUUGUGUGCUUGAGGCUGUUCUCAGUGCUUUAGAUUUCUUGUUGUUCACUUGCUAAGUCAUGUCUAACUCUGCAACCCCAUGGACUGCAGCAUGGGUGCCAUCGCCUUCUCCGUUUACCUACUUAGACAAAUGCAAAACUUCACACUGACAUAGUGCCUAUUGUGUGCUUGAGGCUGUUCUCAGUGCUUUAGAUUUCUUGUUGUUCACUUGCUAAGUCAUGUCUAACUCUGCAACCCCAUGGACUGCAGCAUGGGUGCCAUCGCCUUCUCCGUUUACCUACUUAGACAAAUGCAAAACUUCACACUGACAUAGUGCCUAUUGUGUGCUUGAGGCUGUUCUCAGUGCUUUAGAUUUCUUGUUGUUCACUUGCUAAGUCAUGUCUAACUCUGCAACCCCAUGGACUGCAGCAUGCCAGGCUCCUCUUUCCUCCACUGUCUCCCAGAGUUUGCUCAAAUUCAUGUCCAUUGAGUCGAUGCUUUAGAUAGUGUAUCAGUUAAGGCCCAGUCUGGAGCCAGGAAAAGGGUCCAGUCAGUUUUUCCAACACGAGUACAGCCACCACCCCUGGAGUUAGAGAAACAAAAAUGAAAGGUUGGGUUACCAGACCAGAAGCUCCAAGGAGGGACUCCCUACAGAUACUUGGAUCUUUACUGAGAGGAGUCACCGUGAGGCCCUCACGAGUCACCACACGGCCCUUACUCAGACCUCUCAGAGGAUGUGGGCAGCUGAUGCUGGGCCCUCAAGGGGGUCACAGCCACAGGUACCAGCACUUCAGAGGCAGUAAAGCGUGACUGGUGCUGGGAGAGUUGAAAGGAGCUGGGGCGGUUUGCACCUCUAUCCUCUUAGCUAUCACGCUGUGUGUUGAAAAUGAACACACAGUGAAGUUCCCUCCCUCCGACUCCUAGGCUCCUGCCAGAGUUUCUCAUCGGCUUUAUCGAAACAGAGCCAUCCAGCAAAGGAGUCUGGGAAAGUAUCAUAAGGAAACCGUGGCCCCAUGGAACAGUGUAUAGAAGGGUGGGCUUGGAGACCAGAGAUAACAAGUAAAUAACCACUGUCUUAAUCCAGUUAAUCCUCACAAACACCCUAUGGGAUCACUUCCAUUUGUAAUCUUCCUUCUAGAGAUGAAGAAAUUGAGACAGAUUCAGUAAUUUACCCAACAAAUACAUGGCAGGGUAGGAUGUGAAUCUAAGAAGUCUGGCUCCAACGUCCUUCCUAUAAUCACUACAACAUUUUGACUGAACUGUUCAAUAAAUAUUUUUUGAGUACCUAUUAUGUACCAAGGGCUAGGGCUAGUCAGUAAGCAAAGACUGGGCAACUAUUCUUAGGACAUGCACAGCCUAGUGGGCAAGAUAAGCAUUAUUCCAACAAACAGCAGCAAAGGUAAGGAUUUACCUUAUUGCACACUGACAUAGUACCUAUUGUGUGCUUGAGGCUGUUCUCAGUGCUUUAGAUUUCUUGUUGUUCACUUGCUAAGUCAUGUCUAACUCUGCAACCCCAUGGACUGCAGCAUGGGUG
RNAcentral lists this long non-coding RNA (2783 nucleotides) under Bos grunniens (domestic yak). RNAcentral describes it as "lncRNA (ENSBGRG00000023096.1)". Lineage: Eukaryota; Metazoa; Chordata; Mammalia; Artiodactyla; Bovidae. The record is from RNAcentral.